GAUGAACGCUGGCGGCGUGCCUAAUACAUGCAAGUCGAGCGAACGGACGAGAAGCUUGCUUCUCUGAUGUUAGCGGCGGACGGGUGAGUAACACGUGGAUAACCUACCUAUAAGACUGGGAUAACUUCGGGAAACCGGAGCUAAUACCGGAUAAUAUUUUGAACCGCAUGGUUCAAAAGUGAAAGACGGUCUUGCUGUCACUUAUAGAUGGAUCCGCGCUGCAUUAGCUAGUUGGUAAGGUAACGGCUUACCAAGGCAACGAUGCAUAGCCGACCUGAGAGGGUGAUCGGCCACACUGGAACUGAGAAACGGUCCAGACUCCUACGGGAGGCAGCAGUAGGGAAUCUUCCGCAAGGGGCGAAAGCCUGACGGAGCAACGCCGCGUGAGUGAUGAAGGUCUUCGGAUCGUAAAACUCUGUUAUUAGGGAAGAACAUAUGUGUAAGUAACUGUGCACAUCUUGACGGUACCUAAUCAGAAAGCCACGGCUAACUACGUG
Molecule: ribosomal RNA, 497 nt
Filed under: uncultured bacterium
Lineage: Bacteria
Description: partial 16S ribosomal RNA
Rfam family: Bacterial small subunit ribosomal RNA
Source: RNAcentral